GCGUGUUCUGUAUAUCUCGUAGGAUGCUUUGGUUGUUGCCCUGCGUCUCUUAAAGGACACUGCUUAUGGGCAACUGCAUGACUAUCCUGCGCCCCUUAGGAAAUGGUAGGAACCUGGAUACCUCCCUCAGGAAGCAUGGACACCUCUCUUUGGAAAUUUCUAGCGCACCAUGCAUCUCUCUGAGGACGCUUCUUUGUGGGAUACGUCUCUCGUAGGAUGCUUUUGGUCGUCACCCUGUGUCUCCUUUAGAGCGCUCC
Molecule: long non-coding RNA, 257 nt
Filed under: Prunus persica (peach)
Lineage: Eukaryota; Viridiplantae; Streptophyta; Magnoliopsida; Rosales; Rosaceae
Description: long non-coding RNA (PPER_LNC006975)
Source: RNAcentral